Non-coding RNA from Dipodomys ordii (Ord's kangaroo rat), 65 nucleotides. The record is from Rfam. Lineage: Eukaryota; Metazoa; Chordata; Mammalia; Rodentia; Heteromyidae.
GGUGGCUCAGUGGUAGAGCACUUGCCUUGCAUGCAUGAGGCCCUGGGUUCGUUUUCUCAGCACCA